CAAUAGCGUAUAUUAAAGCUGUUGCGGUUAAAAAGCUCGUAGUUGGAUUUCUGUCAAGGACAACUGGUCCGCCCUCCGGGUGAGCACAUAGUUUGGUCUUGACAUCUUGCUGGAAGCUGUUGCUGCACUUGGCUGUGUGGCGCAGUGUUCAGCACUUUCACUUUGAGGGAAUUGGAGUGUUUCAAGCAGGCACAUGCCUUUGGACACAGUAGCAUGGAAUAAUUAGAUUGGGCUUUUGCUCCAAUUUGUCGGUUUCUGGAGCUGAGGUGAGUAUUAAUGGGGAUUGUUGGGGGCAUCCGAAUUUAGCCGUCAGAGGUGAAAUUCUUGGAUCUGCUAAAGACGGACAACUGCGAAAGCGUUUGCCCAGGAUGUUUUCAUUGA
This 381-nucleotide ribosomal RNA is filed under the name uncultured eukaryote. RNAcentral describes it as "partial 18S ribosomal RNA". It matches the Rfam family "Eukaryotic small subunit ribosomal RNA", at positions 592 to 976 of the family's 1831-position model. The record is from RNAcentral.